AAAUUGAAGAGUUUGAUCAUGGCUCAGAUUGAACGCUGGCGGCAGGCCUAACACAUGCAAGUCGAACGGUAACAGGAAGCAGCUUGCUGCUUUGCUGACGAGUGGCGGACGGGUGAGUAAUGUCUGGGAAACUGCCUGAUGGAGGGGGAUAACUACUGGAAACGGUGGCUAAUACCGCAUAACGUCGCAAGACCAAAGAGGGGGACCUUCGGGCCUCUUGCCAUCAGAUGUGCCCAGAUGGGAUUAGCUUGUUGGUGAGGUAACGGCUCACCAAGGCGACGAUCCCUAGCUGGUCUGAGAGGAUGACCAGCCACACUGGAACUGAGACACGGUCCAGACUCCUACGGGAGGCAGCAGUGGGGAAUAUUGCACAAUGGGCGCAAGCCUGAUGCAGCCAUGCCGCGUGUAUGAAGAAGGCCUUCGGGUUGUAAAGUACUUUCAGCGGGGAGGAAGGUGUUGUGGUUAAUAACCACAGCAAUUGACGUUACCCGCAGAAGAAGCACCGGCUAACUCCGUGCCAGCAGCCGCGGUAAUACGGAGGGUGCAAGCGUUAAUCGGAAUUACUGGGCGUAAAGCGCACGCAGGCGGUCUGUCAAGUCGGAUGUGAAAUCCCCGGGCUCAACCUGGGAACUGCAUUCGAAACUGGCAGGCUUGAGUCUUGUAGAGGGGGGUAGAAUUCCAGGUGUAGCGGUGAAAUGCGUAGAGAUCUGGAGGAAUACCGGUGGCGAAGGCGGCCCCCUGGACAAAGACUGACGCUCAGGUGCGAAAGCGUGGGGAGCAAACAGGAUUAGAUACCCUGGUAGUCCACGCCGUAAACGAUGUCUACUUGGAGGUUGUGCCCUUGAGGCGUGGCUUCCGGAGCUAACGCGUUAAGUAGACCGCCUGGGGAGUACGGCCGCAAGGUUAAAACUCAAAUGAAUUGACGGGGGCCCGCACAAGCGGUGGAGCAUGUGGUUUAAUUCGAUGCAACGCGAAGAACCUUACCUGGUCUUGACAUCCACAGAACUUUCCAGAGAUGGAUUGGUGCCUUCGGGAACUGUGAGACAGGUGCUGCAUGGCUGUCGUCAGCUCGUGUUGUGAAAUGUUGGGUUAAGUCCCGCAACGAGCGCAACCCUUAUCCUUUGUUGCCAGCGGUUAGGCCGGGAACUCAAAGGAGACUGCCAGUGAUAAACUGGAGGAAGGUGGGGAUGACGUCAAGUCAUCAUGGCCCUUACGACCAGGGCUACACACGUGCUACAAUGGCGCAUACAAAGAGAAGCGACCUCGCGAGAGCAAGCGGACCUCAUAAAGUGCGUCGUAGUCCGGAUUGGAGUCUGCAACUCGACUCCAUGAAGUCGGAAUCGCUAGUAAUCGUGGAUCAGAAUGCCACGGUGAAUACGUUCCCGGGCCUUGUACACACCGCCCGUCACACCAUGGGAGUGGGUUGCAAAAGAAGUAGGUAGCUUAACCUUCGGGAGGGCGCUUACCACUUUGUGAUUCAUGACUGGGGUGAAGUCGUAACAAGGUAACCGUAGGGGAACCUGCGGUUGGAUCACCUCCUUACCU
This 1545-nucleotide ribosomal RNA is filed under the name Salmonella enterica subsp. enterica serovar Muenchen. RNAcentral's name for it is "bacterial SSU rRNA". It matches the Rfam family "Bacterial small subunit ribosomal RNA". Lineage: Bacteria; Pseudomonadati; Pseudomonadota; Gammaproteobacteria; Enterobacterales; Enterobacteriaceae. RNAcentral also lists the same sequence under 1 other name. The record is from RNAcentral.